CAGCGUCAAGUAAGAAGGGAAAUAAAAAAAAAAAGGGAAAACGAAACAGAAAAGAAAAAGAAAAUCGACCAGGAAAGGGGGGAGAAAAAAAAAACAAAGGAGAAACCACUCAUCUACCCGCCCUCCAUUACCCCGAUGCCAUCCCAGAACAACUCAAAGAGUUACAUACAAUUGACUUCCCGCAGCCAACCCUCCAUCCAGGCCGGUUCUCAAUCCCUUAAAGCCCCCAUCCCCGUCCCCCGUCCCCACCCCAGCGCAAGGCAAAACGCCCCAAUGCCCAAUGCAAUGCCCAAUGCCUGAGAACGAACUAUUUUAUUAUCACCACCCAGUCUAACACCCGCCCUAGCAGAACCAGGCCAAUUACUCUUCAACCCCAAAAAAUUCUGUCGCGAGCCAAGCAUCCCGCUGUUCUUGUUGUGAUCCAGUCCAUUCCGUGCAUGAAGGGGAAAAAAAAAAAAAAAAUGGGGCAGGAGAAGAACUUGUGGAGAACGGGGAAAACAAAGGGUGCCAGCGAAGAUAAUAUUGUUUUAGUUGACUAGUUGACUACUCUUUUAACUAGUUAUCAAUUAUCAGCAGAAUGUUUGGGUUCACAUGCGGGUUGAAAACUACGAGUGAGAAAGAAAUUUUUUAAAAUUAUGAGCAACAAUACGAAUCUGUAAUCCCCUUGAUAAACCGUGCGAUGUGAUGAUCUACCUUAAAUAGAAUGGAGUAAAAUAAAAUAAAACAAGUUAAACAAACAAUGGAUUCGCAUAGGUAAAUCGGUUGCAAUAAGCAUCAUUGUCAUUAUUAUCAUCACCAUCACACUCAAACCACAAGUUUCAAAACGAUUGAAACAUAGAGGUAUUCUAAUCCUAGCGUAAGGCAACUGGUACAAUAGCUAUACAGCAAAUAGCAAUAAAGGGAUAUAACUAAUCCAAAUGCAAAAACAGCUAUACGAAACCCGUGGGUACCCGCAUUGUCAUACAUGGUGUCAAGCAAGCCAAAAAAAAAAAUAAAAAUAAAAAUAAAUAACAAAAGGCCGUAAAAAUAAAUCUGUAUAUAGGUAUAGGUAUAUGUAGAAGAAACAUCAAACACUCAUAACCAAACAAUCAUUCAAUACUCAUUCAAUUUCAACACUUUCCCAACCAACUUACGCUUCGGAGGCUUAUCCCGAUCUCGAUCCGCCUGCAAACCCUUCAGCGCAUGCAGCAACAUCCCCGC
This 1200-nucleotide small RNA is filed under the name Histoplasma capsulatum. Its description in RNAcentral is "hypothetical RNA". Lineage: Eukaryota; Fungi; Ascomycota; Eurotiomycetes; Onygenales; Ajellomycetaceae. The record is from RNAcentral. RNAcentral also lists the same sequence under 1 other name.